This 2101-nucleotide long non-coding RNA is filed under the name Mus musculus (house mouse). RNAcentral describes it as "predicted gene, 48935". Lineage: Eukaryota; Metazoa; Chordata; Mammalia; Rodentia; Muridae. The record is from RNAcentral.
CUGCUGUGUGUUCCUACCCCCAAGCUUUGACAUUUCAUGUGUUUCCAUGUUGUGUUGGCAUAAUCAAACCCUUCAGUUCACAAUGUUUCAUACAUGCCAAUCUUUAUUGACUAGUUUUCAGUUGUCAAGAAUUCUUCCCACUCAACCAUCUCUGUGUUAGUUUGCAGUCAACUCUCCUGUAGGCCAAUUUAACACUGUAAAAUUAGAGGAGCAUGAGGAGUUCCAGAGAUCGUGACUUCUCCCCCCUUGCCCAUCCCAACUGUUCAGAAACUAUAUUACUGGAUAUGUGGGCAGAUGAUUUAUAGUCCAAGACUUACACAGAUGAUUAUAGCCGCAGGGGACAGUGAAAGAGGUGCAGAGUAGCCUCACAGAUUGUGUAGAGGAAGUAGGAAGAGUAAUGGCUCAGUGGUGGAACUGAGGGAGAGUAAGUUGUGGGGAUGGCUUCUGCCUUUGGAACUCUUUGGACAAUGCGUCUUGUCCUGACGUGUUCAUGGCUUACUCUGUUGGGGAGCACUUUGUAAUAACCGGGAAUGGCUCCAUACACCUGCCUCUAAUGACUCUCUUGGAAAUUACAUCUUAUUUUAAAGGCUUGGUAUGCCUUUGAUAGCUUAGCUUUAAGACUGCUUCCGAAAUAUUAAACUAGGAAAGAAGUCAUAAACUAGCUAAUAGAAACUUUGCAGAUAAUGAAAGAAGUGGAAGCAGCUUAGAGCAAGACUGAUCAGAGCAAGACCGGCCUGUCCACUUUCUAAGAAACAGCAACAGGAAGAUGUCUGGCCAUUGAUUGAUUGAGACACAGAGCAGCAAGCAGGUGAAGCAACAGGGUCAGAGCAGAAAGUUACUGAAAAGUUUUGUUGUUUUUCAUUAUUUUUAUUUUUUGCACGUGUGGCCGGUUUUACUUUUGUUAAGUUAAGGAAUCAGCCAGCAGAGGGCUCUCAAAGGAACUUGAGUUCUCUUAAAUAUUCAGGUGAUAUCUUUGAGCUUUUAGUUCUUUUCUGUACUAAACGUUUUGAAAAGGGUAACCAAAACGAGUGAGCUGGUGACACAAUAGGCUAAAGCCUCAGCGUGCAUCACUAAUACUGAAUCUCAGCGAAAGGUCAGUAGGUGGCACAUGUCUGCAGCCACAGGUCCUGUUUCCUGUCCCACUUGUAGACAGUGCUGAGGUUCUUGUAGGUGGCACAUGUCUGCAGCACACAGGUCCCGUUUCCUGUACCCACUUGUAGACAGUGCUGAGGUUCUUGUAGGUGGCACAUGUCUGCAGCACACAGGUCCCGUUUCCUGUACCCACUUGUAGACAGUGCUGAGGUUCUUGUAGGUGGCACAUGUCUGCAGCCACAGGUCCUGUUUCCUGUACCCACUUGUAGACAGUGCUGAGGUUCUUGUAGGUGGCACAUGUCUGCAGCACACAGGUCCUGUUUCCUGUACCCACUUGUAGACAGUGCUGAGGUUCUUGUAGGUGGCACAUGUCUGCAGCCACAGGUCCUGUUUCCUGUACCCACUUGUAGACAGUGCUGAGGUUCUUGUAGGUGGCACAUGUCUGCAGCCACAGGUCCUGUUUCCUGUACCCACUUGUAGACAGUGCUGAGGUUCUUGUAGGUGGCACAUGUCUGCAGCCACAGGUCCUGUUUCCUGUACCCACUUGUAGACAGUGCUGAGGUUCUUGUAGGUGGCACAUGUCUGCAGCCACAGGUCCUGUUUCCUGUCCCACUUGUAGACAGUGCUGAGGUUCUUGUAGGUGGCACAUGUCUGCAGCCACAGGUCCUGUUUCCUGUCCCACUUGUAGACAGGGCUGAGGUUCUUGUAGGUGGCACAUGUCUGCAGCCACAGGUCCUGUUUCCUGUCCCACUUGUAGACAGUGCUGAGGUUCUUGCUCCUUUGUUUUCGAAAUAGGGGGUGGAUAGUGAUGGUUUGUGUAAGUAACGUGUGACAUAUUGGAAAUACGCUGAAUACAAAAGGUAAACCCCUUUCCAAAUAGUUUCUAUUUUUGAUUUAUUUACUUUAUGAAUAACUAUGAAUGUUAUGCCUGCACGUAUGUAUGUGCAUCAUGCCCAUGCAGGUGUCUGCAGAGGCUAGGACACCAGUACUGGAGUUAUAGGUCGUUAUG